UGCGUAGGUGGUUUCUUAAGUCAGGAGUGAAAGGCUACGGCUCAACCGUAGUAAGCUCUUGAAACUGGGAAACUUGAGUACAGGAGAGGAAAGUGGAAUUCCUAGUGUAGCGGUGAAAUGCGUAGAUAUUAGGAGGAACACCAGUAGCGAAGGCGGCUUUCUGGACUGUAACUGACACUGAGGCACGAAAGCGUGGGGAGGCAAACAA
This 208-nucleotide ribosomal RNA is filed under the name uncultured bacterium. RNAcentral's name for it is "partial 16S ribosomal RNA". It matches the Rfam family "Bacterial small subunit ribosomal RNA", at positions 568 to 775 of the family's 1533-position model. The record is from RNAcentral.